AGCGAGCGAGGCGGACCAGACAGACAGACAGGCGGGCGGGCAGGCAGACCGAGCCACCCGCCAGGCUGCGCUCAGCCCCGCUCAGCGGAGAGAGCAGAAGGCAGAGGAGGGAGGGGAGGAGGGAGGAGGGAGGGAGAGGGAAUCCAGCUACCACCACCCAAAGCCAGCGUCUGCUUUCUGUCCUCAUUUCCUUUUCCCACCCAGCUCGGAGAGCAGAGAAAGGCAAGAGAGAGCGAGAAAUAGAGACAGGCAGGCAGGCAGACAGACAGACAGACAGCGGGAGGGAGGAGGGCGGAGGAGGAGGAGCAGGAGGACUACGCCGGGCGCGUUCCCUCCCAGCAGCCGUGCGCCCGCGUCGCUGCCGCCGCCGGAAGACAGACGCCCCCAAAAGCCCCUCGCCUGGCUCGGACCCACGGAGCCGGCAGCCCAGCACUCCGAUGAGGAGGCGGAGGCUCAAGGAGACCGACCCAAGUCAUAACUCUGAGGACAGUGCUAUACUGGCUGAAUCCCUGUGGUUCUGUAACAAAGGAAGUUCUGUUCCUGAAAGCAUAGAGGACAGUAUGGAGCUGCAUUGUAGAAGAUAGGCACAGUGUUAAGAUGGGCGCUUGCCUAAUUGUCUACCCAUCAGCCUGGACCCCAGAGCCUGCCCGCCUGAGUGCGCGCAGAGGGCCACAGGUGAGGGGCGCCUCUCGGGCCUCUGCAGAGACUACCCUGGAGGCGCUGACAGAGACAGCCCUUUCCUGCUGAGCCUGGCCUUGCUCUACAGCCUGCUCAGGCGCUGUCCACGCCCCGAGGCCUGGGCUCAGGCCGAAGUUGCUCUGCAGGCCCCCCCAGCUGACAGCCAGCGAUUGGCAGAGCCCCCAGACACGGGGGCCCUCUCUCUCCCAGAGAUCUCCAGUGUGACAGCCCAGGCGGCAGAGCCGAGGGUCCUGGUCCCGGCUUCUCGCACCCUCAUGUCAGCCCCGGCCCCGCCCGGCGGCCCGCGGAGGACAAGGUCAGGAUGCGUGUGAAGCCCCAGGGCCUGGUGGUGACUUCCAGUGCCGUGUGCAGCUCUCCUGACUACCUCCGGGAGCCCAAGUACUACCCCGGCGGCCCCCCCGCCCCCCGCCCCUUGCUUCCCACCCGGCCCCCUGCCAGUCCACCUGACAAGGCCUUCUCCACCCACACCUUCUCGGAGAACCCACGCCCACCCCCACGCCGGGACCCUAGCACCCGACGCCCUCCAGUCCUUCCCAAAGGGGACGACCCGCUGCCCCCAAGGGCUGCCCGGCCCAUCUCCCAGGCCCGCUGCCCUAUAUCAGCCGGAGACCGCAGCAGUUCCCGCCGCCGCUGGGACAACGGACGGGUGAACCUGCGUCCAGUGGUGCAGCUGAUUGACAUCAUGAAGGACCUGACACGCCUCUCCCAGGACCUGCAGCACAGUGGGGUGCAUCUGGACUGUGGUGGGCUGCGGUUGAGCCGCCCCCCUGCCCCACCGCCUGGUGACCUGCAGUACAGCUUCUUCUCCUCACCCAGCCUGGCCAACAGCAUCCGCAGCCCGGAGGAGCGCACCACCCCUCAUGCCAAGUCAGAGCGACCCAGCCACCCCCUCUACGAGCCUGAGCCUGAGCCUAGGGACAGUCCCCAGCCUGGCCAAGGCCAUAGUCCUGGCGCCACAGCAGCAGCUACCGGCUUGCCCCCAGAGCCUGAGCCAGAUGGCCCUGAUUACUCAGAACUCGCCGAAGCUGACAUCCUCAGUGAGCUAGCCUCCCUGACUUGCCCUGAGGCCCAGCUGCUAGAGGCCCAGGCCCUGGAGCCACCAUCGCCUGAGCCAGAGCCUCAGCUCCUGGACCCCCAGCCCCGCUUUCUGGACCCACAGGCACUAGAGCCACUCGGGGAAGCUUUGGAGUUGCCUCCCUUGCAACCUCUUGCCGACCCUUUAGGGUUGCCAAGCCUGGCACUACAGGCCCUAGAUACCUUGCCUGACUCCCUGGAGUCACAGCUACUUGACCCCCAGGCACUUGACCCGCUACCCAAGUUGCUGGAUGUCCCAGGUCGCCGACUGGAGCCCCAACAGCCCCUUGGUCACUGUCCAUUGGCUGAACCCUUGCGCCUGGACUUGUGCUCACCCCAUGGCCCCCCUGGGCCUGAGGGCCACCCCAAGUAUGCCUUGCGGCGCACUGAUAGGCCAAAGAUCCUGUGUCGCCGGAGGAAAGCUGGUCGGGGACGUAAGGCAGACGCUGGACCUGAGGGCCGCCUGCUACCUUUGCCUAUGCCCACAGGGCUGGCAGCUGUCCUGGCUGAGCCACCGCCACCGCCACCUCCACCACCACCUGCCCUGCCAGGCCCAGUCCCAGAACUGGAACCAGAAUGUUCCCAGACUCCAGUUGUCCCUGCCCGCAAAGGCAAGUGCCGGGGUGUAAGGCGCAUGGUGGUGAAGAUGGCUAAGAUCCCUGUAUCACUGGGGCGGCGGAAUAAGACCACAUACAAAGUGUCAUCUCUGAGCAGCAGCCUGAGCGUGGAGGGUAAGGAGCUAGGCCUACGAGUAUCAGCAGAACCCACCCCACUGCUGAAGAUGAAGAACAAUGGGCGAAACGUGGUAGUGGUCUUCCCACCAGGUGAGAUGCCAAUUAUUCUCAAGCGUAAGCGUGGCCGCCCUCCUAAGAACUUACUGCUGGGUCCUGGCAAGCCCAAGGAGCCAGCAGUGGUGGCGACUGAGGCUGCUACUGUGACAGCAGCCACCAUGGCCAUCCCAGAGGUAAAGAAACGACGGCGACGGAAGCAGAAGCUGGCAUCUCCCCAGCCAUCGUAUGCAGCAGAUGCCAAUGACAGUAAGGCUGAGUACUCAGAUGUCCUCGCCAAACUGGCCUUCCUGAACCGCCAGAGCCAGUGUGCUGGGCGGUGCUCACCACCCCGCUGCUGGACACCCAGUGAGCCUGAGUCAGUACACCAGGCCCCUGACACCCAGAGCAUCUCCCACUUCCUACACCGCGUGCAGGGCUUCCGGCGGCGUGGGGGCAAGACAGGUGGUUUUGGUGGCCGAGGUGGGGGCCAUGCAGCCAAGGCAGCCAGAUGCUCCUUCAGUGACUUCUUUGAGGGGAUUGGCAAGAAAAAAAAGGUGGUGGCAGUGGCAGCUGCUGGGGUUGGAGGUCCCGGCCUCACUGAGUUAGGACACCCACGCAAACGGGGUCGGGGGGAGGUGGACGUGUUGACGGGGAAGCCCAAGCGGAAGAGGCGGUCCCGAAAAAAUGGAACUCUGUUUCCAGAGCAGGUACCCAGUGGCCCAGGCUUUGGAGAGGCUGGUGCCGAGUGGGCUGGGGACAAAGGUGGUGGCUGGGCCCCUCACCAUGGGCACCCAGGUGGGCAAGCUGGCCGAAACUGUGGUUUCCAGGGGACUGAGGCCCGGGCCUUUGCCUCCACUGGGCUGGAGAGUGGGACUUCAGGCCGUGGCAGCUAUUAUAGCACGGGCACCCCCUCAGGCCAGACUGAGCUCAGCCAAGAGCGCCAAAACCUCUUCACUGGCUAUUUUCGCUCACUGCUUGAUUCGGAUGACUCCUCCGAUCUCUUGGACUUUGCCCUCUCAGCCUCUCGCCCAGAGUCCCGGAAGGCAUCAGGCACCUACACAGGGCCACCCACCAGUGCCCUAUCUGCCCAGCGAGGCCUGGCUACCUUCCCCAGCCGGGGAGCCAAGGCCAGCCCAGUGGCAGUGGGCAGCAGUGGGGCAGGGGCAGACCCUCCCUUCCAGCCUGUCUUGCCCACUCGCCAGACCUUCCCACCAGGGCGGGCAGCAAGCUAUGGGAUAACCCCAGCUACUUCAGACUGCCGGGCAGCUGAGACCUUCCCAAAGCUGGCUCCCCCACCUUCAGCUGUGGCCCGAUCUCCAACUACCCACCCACCCACCAACACCUACCCACCCCAGUACGGUGGAUAUGGGGCUGGACAAAGUGUAUUUGCCCCAGCAAAGCCCUUUACAGGCCAGGACUGUGCUAACAGCAAGGACUGCAGCUUUGCCUAUGGCAGCGGCAACAGCCUUCCUGCCUCACCCAGCAGCGCCCACAGUGCUGGCUAUGCCCCACCACCUACUGGAGGUCCCUGCUUGCCACCAAGCAAGGCGUCCUUCUUCAGCAGCUCUGAGGGGGCCCCUUUCUCUGGUUCAGCUCCCACACCCCUACGCUGUGACAGCCGGGCCAGCACUGUCUCUCCUGGCGGCUACAUGGUGCCCAAGGGCACCACAGCUUCUGCCACCUCCGCAGCCUCUGUCGCUUCCUCCUCCUCCUCCUCCUUUCAGCCCUCACCUGAGAACUGUCGGCAGUUUGCGGGGGCUUCUCAGUGGCCUUUCCGGCAGGGCUAUGGAGGCCUGGACUGGGCCUCAGAGGCCUUUAGUCAGCUCUAUAACCCCAGUUUUGACUGCCAUGUCAGCGAGCCCAAUGUGAUUCUGGACAUCUCCAACUACACCCCACAGAAGGUGAAGCAGCAGACAGCUGUGUCCGAGACCUUCUCUGAGUCAUCCUCCGACAGCACCCAAUUCAAUCAACCAGUCGGUGGUGGCGGUUUUCGUCGUGCCAACAGUGAGGCCUCGAGCAGUGAGGGCCAAUCAAGCCUGUCCAGCCUAGAGAAACUGAUGAUGGACUGGAACGAAGCAUCAUCUGCCCCCGGCUACAACUGGAACCAGAGUGUCCUCUUCCAGAGUAGUUCCAAGCCUGGCCGUGGACGGCGGAAGAAGGUGGACCUGUUUGAGGCCUCACACCUAGGCUUCUCAACAUCCGCCUCUGCUGCUGCCUCAGGCUACCCAUCCAAGCGGAGCACCGGGCCCCGGCAGCCACGGGGUGGUCGAGGCGGUGGGGCAUGCUCAGCCAAGAAGGAGCGAGGUGGUGCAGCAGCCAAAGCCAAGUUUAUCCCUAAGCCACAGCCGGUCAACCCACUGUUCCAGGACAGCCCAGACCUCGGCCUGGACUACUACAGUGGGGAUAGCAGUAUGUCACCACUGCCCUCUCAGUCAAGGGCCUUCAGUGUGGGAGAGCGAGACCCCUGUGACUUCAUGGGACCCUACUCUAUGAAUCCAUCCACGCCUUCUGAUGGUACCUUCGGCCAAGGCUUUCACUGCGACUCACCCAGCCUGGGUGCACCUGACCUGGAUGGCAAGCAUUUCCCGCCUCUGGCCCACCCACCCACCGUGUUUGAUGCUGGCCUGCAGAAGGCGUACUCACCCACGUGCUCACCCACGCUAGGCUUCAAGGAAGAGCUACGGCCACCGCCCACAAAGCUAGCUGCUUGUGAGCCCCUCAAGCAUGGGCUCCAGGGUGCCAGCCUGGGCCAUGUGGCUGCAGCCCAGGCCCACCUGAGCUGCCGGGACCUGCCACUGGGCCAGCCCCACUACGAUUCCCCCAGUUGUAAGGGCACAGCCUAUUGGUAUCCACCAGGCUCAGCUGCCCGUAGCCCACCUUACGAAGGCAAGGUGGGCACAGGGCUGCUGGCUGACUUCCUGGGCAGGACGGAGGCCACGUGCCUCAGUGCCCCACACUUGGCCAGCCCACCAGCCACACCCAAGGCUGACAAGGAGCCACUAGAGAUGGCACGGCCACCCGGUCCACCGCGUGGCCCUGCUGCAGCCGCUGCUGGCUAUGGCUGCCCACUCCUUAGUGACUUGACCCUGUCCCCUGUGCCGAGGGACUCGCUGCUGCCCCUGCAGGAUACCGCGUACAGGUAUCCAGGCUUUAUGCCGCAGGCGCAUCCUGGCCUGGGUGGGGGCCCUAAGAGCAGCUUCCUGGGGCCCAUGGCGGAACCUCAUCCUGAGGACACAUUCACCGUCACCUCCCUGUAGUGCCAACUGAAGUGCCGACUGGACCGCAAGGUUUUAUUCCUGGCCUGGGGACUUUUGCCAUGCAGCUGCACCAUUCCACCCUGCAUCCUCGUUCCUCAGCAAUGAAGGAUCAGAUUGGACGAGCCCUUCUUUUCAGGCCUGGAACUGAAGCCAAGAGAAAUGUCACAGGUCCUCCAAGGUUACACCAGCUGGGGCCUGACUGGAGCAGGAGGCAGUUUCCAAGGCCACCAUCCAGCUGGGGUCAGCAGGCAUGUCCAGGCCCGGCUGCUCUGGGCUUUGUGUCUCUGUCUUGAAACCUUGAAAGGUCACUUGAUCUUGCCCCUGGCUCUGAGCAAGAGGCCUCCAGUCAGGGCUCAACCAGUCCUGCCAUGCCUGUUACGGGCUCUGGCUCUUCCCCCUUCUAUGAACCUAUCCUCCCUCCAAUCCUGUCUCUUACCACUCCUGCAGCCACGUUUAGGCUGGGCCUUCUGUGCUGAGGCUCCAUUCCCUGGAAAUGCCAUCUCUCUGUGAACACGCCCUCUCGCACUC
Octodon degus (degu) is the source of this 6328-nucleotide RNA transcript. It is a transcript of the gene named AT-hook DNA binding motif containing 1, with no coding region annotated. The transcript has 9 exons. The record is from RefSeq and is a predicted model, not a curated record. NCBI's taxonomy places the organism in Eukaryota, Metazoa, Chordata, Mammalia, Rodentia, Octodontidae.